Molecule: non-coding RNA, 2311 nt
Organism: Biomphalaria pfeifferi
Lineage: Eukaryota; Metazoa; Mollusca; Gastropoda; Planorbidae
Source: the annotation of a GenBank genome assembly
AUUCUUUUUUUUUUUUUUUUUUUAUUCCUUUAUCUUUUCUUUUUUUUUGCUUAUUAUUAUUGAAGCAGAAUUAUGCAUUACUAAAAAAAACAACACAUAAAAGGCAUUUGUAUAUUAUUUAGAUCAUUUAUUUAGCAUUUAGAAUGAUAAUAAUGUGGGCUCUGUUUUCUGGUAUGAGCUCUUUUUAUAGUUCUCUGUAAUAUUUCCAGCCUGGUCACAAGAUCUUUUGUGUUUUGAAAGUGAACAUAAGUUGUCAGCUGCUGGAGCUUUUACUCUGUUGACUUAUUGAUGCUAGGGCAUGUCAAAAACAUGCAGUAUCAUUUAAAUAAUGGAGGAACAUUUAGAAGUAGUGAGGUGAAAAGAAAAAUUAUUGUUUCAAAAGUGUUACUAUCAGCAGAAGUGUUCUCAUUGUGAAUGUGAACAAGUCCAUCUUCCUGUUACUUUGGUGUUCCUAUUUAUCCAAUUACAACAUACAAAAUAUUGGGAAUCGUUCUUAUAUUCAAGUUGUAACAGAAAGAUAAUGUAAAUUAUGUUUGAUUUUUGCUUAACAUUAGAAAAAAAUAGCCUCAUAAUAAGUCACAAGAUAGCAGGUAAAUUUGAAUGUGAGCAUUUGUAUAAUUAUCAUUUUACAAAGAUCAAAUAUGUAAGAACUGGUAAUACAAAAUUUUUUCCUGCUGCAAUCGGUGUUUAAACGUUCUUGUUUUUUUUUGUUUUUUUUUAAUUAUAAAUUAUAGGGACUUUUACUAGCUGCGUUGUUAGCAACAUCGAACUUAUCUAGUGAUAUUUUCAAUAAAUGUUUAGGUAGCAAUUUGCCUGCAUUUCAACUUGUGACUUGCUAGACAUUUGCUCAGUAUAAAUACUAUCUAUAGUGCCUGUUCAUAUGUUCCCUUAAAGGUGAAACCAACACCCCCUUCAAACAUUCUAUUGAGUAACAUUGUGUCAUGGUAUUUGUUCCAGUGUUUGUAUAGUUUUGUCUUUCAGUGUUGUGAGAUGCUUUAGAAAGUUGUCCUCUUGCAAUAUUUUUUUUUAAAUAAUGAUGUGAACAUAUAACUAUGAAAUAUAUUUUUACCUUCAUAUUGUAUUGGGAAAUCUCUGUAAUAGUGCUUGGCAUGUUUCUUAUUUUUAUAACUGUAAAGAUAGGUUUAAAACAAGUUUACUACCAGUAAAUCCUUUCCUUAUAAAUUCUCUUCUUUUAUCCUAGUAAUGUUAGAAAUUUGUAUGAGAAUAAUUUCUUUGUCAGUGAACAACCAUUUGAAUUAUAAUUAAUAAUGAUCAUCAGUAGAAAUGUUAUUAGUUAAUUUCUUGACAUCUUUGAUUUGGUGUGAACAAACCAAUAGACAGCUUUUAGAUUGCAAACCUAGCAACAGUACCAAUUAGGUAUACAAGUGUGCAAUUGAAAUAGUCAUUUAGUGAGGCAUGCUUUAGCACAAAGAUAAAACAAUUUCAAAAUUAUUUCUUUUAGCCUUAAUAUUUCUUUUAUUUAUAAAUACAUAUGAAAUAUUAAACAUACAUAGCUUGAUUUAUGUAAAACGGAAAAUGAUUUAACAAAAUACUGAAUUUUUUAAUUUUUUUUUUUAAAUUCUUUGCUGCUUGAGACCUUACCCCAGUAAUUGUUGUCACUGUAGUGUAGUCAGAGGAGCUGUGUGGGAGUAGGUUCUAAAGAAUGAUGUAUAUAUGUUUCACUAUGUGUAUAUGUUUCAAGAGCUUCAAGAUUAUUGCAUGAUGUGGAUGGAACAUGAGAUGUGUAAACAAAAAAAUAUCUUUACUGUGAUAAACUAUAAAACCAACAAAAACAAAACGGGUGUAUAAUGCAUCCUCUUUCACAAAUUGACAUUUGUAAUAAAAGUUGAAUUCAUGUCCUUUAUGUGUUAGCUGGUUAUUUGUAAUAUAUUGUAAUUUAUAUAUAACUUAGCCUUUUCUACAACUUAAAAAAAUGUUGCCCUCUUUUUUUAAACUAGAAAUUAGCCAUCAUUUUUACAUAUUUCUUGCAAGACCAAAAUUAGGAUUAAUUAUUAGGUGACAAUGUUUAAAAAAAAAGUACAAGGUACAUUCCAUGACAAAAAAUGAUGGAGUGAUAACUUAAAAGUACUUCUUCACUACUAAUUACCCAAUAAAGCCUGAAAUUGAUGUUUUUUCAUGACAGUUCCAAUAGGGACUAUAUUUUAAAAGCGUGGUCGAUAGGCUAAGUACGCUUGAACGUGGCUCAGCUAGCUAUGAAGGGGGCUCGAAGUUCGACACCCGACUAAGGCAGAGUUGUGUUUACUGAGUGCCUAAAGGCAGCACUGAAAACCUACUCCUAGAUACCCCCCCC